UAGAUUGAAGCCAGUUGUUUUAGGUGAUUAGCUGUUAACUAAUAUUUUGUAGGUUAAAAUCUUACCAAUCUAG
RNAcentral lists this transfer RNA (73 nucleotides) under Lasionycteris noctivagans (Silver-haired bat). RNAcentral describes it as "tRNA-Asn". It matches the Rfam family "tRNA". Rfam says of the family: Transfer RNA (tRNA) molecules are approximately 80 nucleotides in length. Their secondary structure includes four short double-helical elements and three loops (D, anti-codon, and T loops). Lineage: Eukaryota; Metazoa; Chordata; Mammalia; Chiroptera; Vespertilionidae. The record is from RNAcentral.